This 490-nucleotide ribosomal RNA is filed under the name uncultured bacterium. RNAcentral's name for it is "partial 16S ribosomal RNA". It matches the Rfam family "Bacterial small subunit ribosomal RNA", at positions 30 to 507 of the family's 1533-position model. The record is from RNAcentral.
AUUGAACGCUGGCGGCAGGCCUAACACAUGCAAGUCGAACGGUAACAGGAAGCAGCUUGCUGCUUUGCUGACGAGUGGCGGACGGGUGAGUAAUGUCUGGGAAACUGCCUGAUGGAGGGGGAUAACUACUGGAAACGGUAGCUAAUACCGCAUAACGUCGCAAGACCAAAGAGGGGGACCUUAGGGCCUCUUGCCAUCGGAUGUGCCCAGAUGGGAUUAGCUAGUAGGUGGGGUAACGGCUCACCUAGGCGACGAUCCCUAGCUGGUCUGAGAGGAUGACCAGCCACACUGGAACUGAGACACGGCCCAGACUCCUACGGGAGGCAGCAGUGGGGAAUAUUGCACAAUGGGCGCAAGCCUGAUGCAGCCAUGCCGCGUGUAUGAAGAAGGCCUUCGGGUUGUAAAGUACUUUCAGCGGGGAGGAAGGGAGUAAAGUUAAUACCUUUGCUCAUUGACGUUACCCGCAGAAGAAGCACCGGCUAACUCCGUG